UUAAUUAUAGCUAAAAAAGCAAUAUCACUGUUAAUGAUAAGAUAAGUAAAACUUUAAUUAAG
Molecule: transfer RNA, 62 nt
Filed under: Tetraclitella divisa
Lineage: Eukaryota; Metazoa; Arthropoda; Thecostraca; Balanomorpha; Tetraclitidae
Description: tRNA-Asn
Source: RNAcentral